CCUACGGGGGGCUGCAGUCGAGGAUCUUCGGCAAUGGGCGCAAGCCUGACCGAGCGACGCCGCGUGUGCGAUGAAGGCCUUCGGGUUGUAAAGCACUGUCGAGGGGGAGGAAAGCCCGCAAGGGCCUGACCUAUCCCUGGAGGAAGCACGGGCUAAGUUCGUGCCAGCAGCCGCGGUAAGACGAACCGUGCGAACGUUAUUCGGAUUCACUGGGCUUAAAGGGCGCGUAGGCGGCUACCCAAGUCGGGGGUGAAAUCUUUCGGCCCAACCGGAAAACAGCCUCCGAUACUGUGUAGCUCGAGGGAGACAGGGGCACGCGGAACUUCCGGUGGAGCGGUGAAAUGCGUAGAUAUCGGAAGGAACGCCGGUGGCGAAAGCGGCGUGCUGGAUCUCUUCUGACGCUGAGGCGCGAAAGCCAGGGGAGCGAACGGGAUUAGAUA
This 440-nucleotide ribosomal RNA is filed under the name uncultured bacterium. RNAcentral's name for it is "bacterial SSU rRNA". It matches the Rfam family "Bacterial small subunit ribosomal RNA", at positions 338 to 784 of the family's 1533-position model. The record is from RNAcentral.